AGAGUUUGAUCCUGGCUCAGGAUGAACGCUGGCGGCGUGCUUAACACAUGCAAGUCGAACGAACCUUCGGGUUAGUGGCGGACGGGUGAGUAACGCGUGAGAAUCUGCCCUCAGGAGGGGGAUAACAGUUGGGAACGACUGCUAAUACCCCAUAUGCCGAGAGGUGAAAUGAAUUUCGCCUGGGGAUGAGCUCGCGUCUGAUUAGCUUGUUGGUGGGGUAAUAGCCUACCAAGGCUUCGAUCAGUAGCUGGUCUGAGAGGACGAUCAGCCACACUGGGACUGAGACACGGCCCAGACUCCUACGGGAGGCAGCAGUGGGGAAUUUUCCGCAAUGGGCGAAAGCCUGACGGAGCAACGCCGCGUGAGGGAUGGAGGCCUUUGGGCUGUAAACCUCUUUUCUCAAGGAAGAAGAUCUGACGGUACUUGAGGAAUAAGCCACGGCUAAUUCCGUGCCAGCAGCCGCGGUAAUACGGGGGUGGCAAGCGUUAUCCGGAAUUAUUGGGCGUAAAGCGUCCGCAGGCGGCCGUUUAAGUCUGUUGUUAAAUCGUGGAGCUCAACUCCAUCACGGCAAUGGAAACUGUUCGGCUUGAGUAUGGUAGGGGCAGAGGGAAUUUCCGGUGUAGCGGUGAAAUGCGUAGAUAUCGGGAAGAACACCAGUGGCGAAAGCGCUCUGCUGGGCCAUUACUGACGCUCAUGGACGAAAGCCAGGGGAGCGAAAGGGAUUAGAUACCCCUGUAGUCCUGGCCGUAAACGAUGAACACUAGAUGUUGGGGGAAUCGACCCCCUCGGUGUCGUAGCUAACGCGUUAAGUGUUCCGCCUGGGGAGUACGCACGCAAGUGUGAAACUCAAAGGAAUUGACGGGGGCCCGCACAAGCGGUGGAGUAUGUGGUUUAAUUCGAUGCAACGCGAAGAACCUUACCAAGGCUUGACAUCCUGCGAAUCUCUAAGAAAUUAGAGAGUGCCUUCGGGAACGCAGUGACAGGUGGUGCAUGGCUGUCGUCAGCUCGUGUCGUGAGAUGUUGGGUUAAGUCCCGCAACGAGCGCAACCCACGUUUUUAGUUGCCAGCAUUCAGUUGGGCACUCUAGAAAGACUGCCGGUGACAAACCGGAGGAAGGUGUGGACGACGUCAAGUCAUCAUGCCCCUUACGCCUUGGGCUACACACGUACUACAAUGCUGCGGACAAAGAGUAGCGAUCUUGCGAAAGUUAGCUAAUCUCAUAAACCGUGGCUCAGUUCAGAUCGUAGGCUGCAACUCGCCUACGUGAAGGAGGAAUCGCUAGUAAUCGCAGGUCAGCAUACUGCGGUGAAUACGUUCCCGGGCCUUGUACACACCGCCCGUCACACCAUGGAAGUUGGCCAUGCCCGAAGUCGUUACUCUAACCUUUUGGAAGAGGGCGCCGAAGGCAGGGCUAAUGACUGGGGUGAAGUCGUAACAAGGUAACC
RNAcentral lists this ribosomal RNA (1445 nucleotides) under uncultured bacterium. RNAcentral's name for it is "bacterial SSU rRNA". It matches the Rfam family "Bacterial small subunit ribosomal RNA". The record is from RNAcentral.